RNAcentral lists this unclassified non-coding RNA (269 nucleotides) under Basidiomycota sp. Its description in RNAcentral is "partial contains small subunit ribosomal RNA, internal transcribed spacer 1, and 5.8S ribosomal RNA". The stretch from base 1 to 47 matches the Rfam family "Eukaryotic small subunit ribosomal RNA", at positions 1785 to 1831 of the family's 1831-position model. Lineage: Eukaryota; Fungi; Basidiomycota. The record is from RNAcentral.
AAAGUCGUAACAAGGUUUCCGUAGGUGAACCUGCGGAAGGAUCAUUAAUGAACUUGUGGUUGUUGCUGGCUAGUGUCUCUAGCAUGUGCACACGCACCUUCAUCCCAUUUACACCUGUGCACCUUUUGUAGUAGAGUUCUGAAAGGGGGGUUUUUUUUUACCUUCUCUGAUUUACUACUACGUUUUUUAUACACACACAACUAGUCAUUGAAUGUUAUUUGAUUUUAUAUUGAAAAAAACAACUUUCAACAACGGAUCUCUUGGCUCUC